GACGAACGCUGGCGGCGUGCUUAACACAUGCAAGUCGAACGAAAAGAGGGAAAGAGCUUGCUCUUUCCGGAAUUGAGUGGCAAACGGGUGAGUAACACGUAAACAACCUGCCUUCAGGAUGGGGACAACAGACGGAAACGACUGCUAAUACCGAAUAAGUUCCAAGAGCCGCAUGGCCCAUGGAAGAAAAGGUGGCCUCUACCUGUAAGCUAUCGCCUGAAGAGGGGUUUGCGUCUGAUUAGCUGGUUGGAGGGGUAACGGGCCCACCAAGGCGACGAUCAGUAGCCGGUCUGAGAGGAUGAACGGCCACACUGGAACUGAGACACGGUCCAGACUCCUACGGGAGGCAGCAGUGGGGAAUCUUCCGCAAUGGGCGAAAGCCUGACGGAGCAACGCCGCGUGAGUGAUGACGGCCUUCGGGUUGUAAACGUACUGUGAU
Molecule: ribosomal RNA, 439 nt
Filed under: uncultured bacterium
Lineage: Bacteria
Description: bacterial SSU rRNA
Rfam family: Bacterial small subunit ribosomal RNA
Source: RNAcentral